RNAcentral lists this ribosomal RNA (541 nucleotides) under Bifidobacterium longum. Its description in RNAcentral is "bacterial SSU rRNA". It matches the Rfam family "Bacterial small subunit ribosomal RNA", at positions 155 to 710 of the family's 1533-position model. Lineage: Bacteria; Bacillati; Actinomycetota; Actinomycetes; Bifidobacteriales; Bifidobacteriaceae. The record is from RNAcentral.
AAAGGGUGGUAAUGCCGGAUGCUCCAGUUGAUCGCAUGGUCUUCUGGGAAAGCUUUCGCGGUAUGGGAUGGGGUCGCGUCCUAUCAGCUUGACGGCGGGGUAACGGCCCACCGUGGCUUCGACGGGUAGCCGGCCUGAGAGGGCGACCGGCCACAUUGGGACUGAGAUACGGCCCAGACUCCUACGGGAGGCAGCAGUGGGGAAUAUUGCACAAUGGGCGCAAGCCUGAUGCAGCGACGCCGCGUGAGGGAUGGAGGCCUUCGGGUUGUAAACCUCUUUUAUCGGGGAGCAAGCGAGAGUGAGUUUACCCGUUGAAUAAGCACCGGCUAACUACGUGCCAGCAGCCGCGGUAAUACGUAGGGUGCAAGCGUUAUCCGGAAUUAUUGGGCGUAAAGGGCUCGUAGGCGGUUCGUCGCGUCCGGUGUGAAAGUCCAUCGCUUAACGGUGGAUCCGCGCCGGGUACGGGCGGGCUUGAGUGCGGUAGGGGAGACUGGAAUUCCCGGUGUAACGGUGGAAUGUGUAGAUAUCGGAAAAGAACACC